UGGGGAAUUUUGGACAAUGGGGGCAACCCUGAUCCAGCCAUCCCGCGUGUGCGAUGAAGGCCUUCGGGUUGUAAAGCACUUUUGGCAGGGAAGAAACAGCCUGGGAUAAUACCCCGGGCGACUGACGGUACCUGCAGAAUAAGCACCGGCUAACUACGUGCCAGCAGCCGCGGUAAUACGUAGGGUGCAAGCGUUAAUCGGAAUUACUGGGCGUAAAGCGUGCGCAGGCGGUUCGGAAAGAAAGGUGUGAAAUCCCAGGGCUUAACCUUGGAACUGCACUUUUAACUACCGAGCUAGAGUACGUCAGAGGGGGGUAGAAUUCCACGUGUAGCAGUGAAAUGCGUAGAGAUGUGGAGGAAUA
This 361-nucleotide ribosomal RNA is filed under the name uncultured bacterium. Its description in RNAcentral is "partial 16S ribosomal RNA". It matches the Rfam family "Bacterial small subunit ribosomal RNA", at positions 355 to 708 of the family's 1533-position model. The record is from RNAcentral.